This 1516-nucleotide unclassified non-coding RNA is filed under the name Hevea brasiliensis (rubber tree). Lineage: Eukaryota; Viridiplantae; Streptophyta; Magnoliopsida; Malpighiales; Euphorbiaceae. The record is from RNAcentral.
CACUACGCACCUUCACGUUCCCUUAUUCCUGUCACUCUUUUAUCCCUCUCUCCUCUGUGCGAAUGCAUCCUAUCUCAAACGCCUCCAAGCCCCUGCAGUUUCACUAUUGCUGACCCAAGCCAAAUGGGUAAAGCCUCCAAGUGGUUCCGGGCCGUUCUCGGGCUUAAAAAACCCGUCACGCCUUCGUCAGAACGGCAGCAGCAAACCACGGGUCGUUUGAAGGAGAAACGGAGAUGGAGCUUUGUGAAAUCAUACAGCGAGAAAGAUCACCAGCAGCACGGAGUUUUGGAUGGCCAGGAGGGUUCCGUAACAGUUCAGAGUUCGUCGGAGUACGAGGAGGAACCUAACAGGCACGCGAUCGCAGUAGCAGCUNNNNNNNNNCGUUGGCGGAGCCUGCCGUGGCAGCGGCUCAUGCGGCUGCAGAGGUUGUGAGAUUGACAAGUAGCGGAAGGUGCGCUAACAAUCCACCAGUAACGUACGUUAGUGGGAGCCAUGCGUGGCGUGAGGAUUGGGCUGCCGUUAAGAUACAAGCGGCAUUCCGUGGCUACUUGGCAAGAAGGGCAUUGCGAGCAUUGAAAGCAUUAGUAAGGCUUCAGGCAUUGGUAAGAGGUCACAUUGAGAGGAAGCGAACUGCUGCAUGGCUUCAUCGUAUGCAAGCAUUACUGAGAGCCCAGGCACGAGCACGUGCAGGACGGAUACAGGUCUCUGAAUCUUCACAUUCAAGUUGCAAGUCUUCUCACUCCCACCACCCUGCUGGUCCGCCCACCCCUGAAAAUUUUGAACAUGCAAUACGAGCUAGGAGUGGAAAAUAUGAGCAGUCAUCAAUUCUCAAGAGGACUGGAUCAAAAUCUAAUGGCAGGGCAAUUAUUGAUGAAGACAAACCACACUUAUCCUUUAAUUGGUCAGGACGUGGGAUGGAUGAAAGAUCAUGGGAGCAAAGAGUUCCUUUGACAAGAACAAGCACUAUAGAUGAUGAGAAGAGUGACAAGAUCCUUGAAGUUGAUACAGGAAAAACCUACUUCACUCCUAAACACAGAAACCUUUUCCACUCCUCUUAUCUUGCCGUGGCAUCAGAUCAAUAUAGUCGUAGCUUCACAACUUCGAAGGACUCCACAAACCAUCAAGCAGUUCCAAGUCCAUCAUCUGGUGAAGUCCAGUCUUUAAGUCCUUUGAAAUUUCCACGUGCGGAUGAGGAAGCUUUUCGCACUGCUCAAAAUAGCCCACAGUUCUACUCCACAUCAUCAAGAGGGGGUGGUGGUAGAAGAAGUCCCUUCACUCCCAGUAAGAGCGAUGGCUCAGCAAGCUUUCUAAGCGGCUACUCGGACUACUACCCAAAUUACAUGUCUUACACUGAAUCAUCAAGGGCUAAAGUAAGAUCUCUUAGUGCUCCAAAGCAAAGGCCUCAAUAUGAGAGAUCAACUUCAACAAAAAGGUACACAAUUCAUGGCUUUGGUGAGCCAAGAUCGAGCAGUGCACAGAGGGCUUCCGCCUUGCGUGCAAGCUUUACUAGCAAAGC